This 781-nucleotide ribosomal RNA is filed under the name Bacillus subtilis. Its description in RNAcentral is "bacterial SSU rRNA". It matches the Rfam family "Bacterial small subunit ribosomal RNA", at positions 56 to 819 of the family's 1533-position model. The record is from RNAcentral. Lineage: Bacteria; Bacillati; Bacillota; Bacilli; Caryophanales; Bacillaceae.
UGCAAGUCGAGCGGACAGAUGGGAGCUUGCUCCCUGAUGUUAGCGGCGGACGGGUGAGUAACACGUGGGUAACCUGCCUGUAAGACUGGGAUAACUCCGGGAAACCGGGGCUAAUACCGGAUGGUUGUUUGAACCGCAUGGUUCAAACAUAAAAGGUGGCUUCGGCUACCACUUACAGAUGGACCCGCGGCGCAUUAGCUAGUUGGUGAGGUAACGGCUCACCAAGGCAACGAUGCGUAGCCGACCUGAGAGGGUGAUCGGCCACACUGGGACUGAGACACGGCCCAGACUCCUACGGGAGGCAGCAGUAGGGAAUCUUCCGCAAUGGACGAAAGUCUGACGGAGCAACGCCGCGUGAGUGAUGAAGGUUUUCGGAUCGUAAAGCUCUGUUGUUAGGGAAGAACAAGUACCGUUCGAAUAGGGCGGUACCUUGACGGUACCUAACCAGAAAGCCACGGCUAACUACGUGCCAGCAGCCGCGGUAAUACGUAGGUGGCAAGCGUUGUCCGGAAUUAUUGGGCGUAAAGGGCUCGCAGGCGGUUUCUUAAGUCUGAUGUGAAAGCCCCCGGCUCAACCGGGGAGGGUCAUUGGAAACUGGGGAACUUGAGUGCAGAAGAGGAGAGUGGAAUUCCACGUGUAGCGGUGAAAUGCGUAGAGAUGUGGAGGAACACCAGUGGCGAAGGCGACUCUCUGGUCUGUAACUGACGCUGAGGAGCGAAAGCGUGGGGAGCGAACAGGAUUAGAUACCCUGGUAGUCCACGCCGUAAACGAUGAGUGCUAA